RNAcentral lists this ribosomal RNA (253 nucleotides) under uncultured bacterium. Its description in RNAcentral is "partial 16S ribosomal RNA". It matches the Rfam family "Bacterial small subunit ribosomal RNA", at positions 524 to 776 of the family's 1533-position model. The record is from RNAcentral.
UACAGAGGCCCCGAGCGUUAUCCGGAAUUAUUGGGCGUAAAGGGUGUCCAGGCGGCCCUGUUAGUCGUUUGUAAAAUCCGUGGGCUUAACCUACGGUUCGCAAGCGAAACGGCAGGGCUCGAGGGCGCGAGAGGUAGAGGGAACUCAUGGUGGAGGGGUGAAAUCCGUUGAUAUCAUGGGGAACACCAAAGGCGAAGGCACUCUACUGGCGCGUUCCUGACGCUCACACACGAAAGCCAGGGGAUCGAACGGG